This 2588-nucleotide long non-coding RNA is filed under the name Brassica napus (rape). RNAcentral describes it as "long non-coding RNA (BNAP_LNC007062)". The record is from RNAcentral. Lineage: Eukaryota; Viridiplantae; Streptophyta; Magnoliopsida; Brassicales; Brassicaceae.
GUUUUAGCGUUAGAUGGGAUUUAUGGUUAGGUUUAGGUAGGGUUUUAGGGUUAGGUUUAGGCAGGGUUUACGGUUAGCAUGGUUUAGGGUUAGGUAAGGUUUAGGGUUAGAAAGGGUUUAGGGUUAGGUAGGGUUUUUUGGGUUAGGCAGGGUUUAGGGUUAGGAAGGGUUUAGGGUUAGAAAGGGUUUUGGGUUAGGUAGGGUUUAGGGUUAGGUAGGGUUUUGAGUUAGGUAGGGUUUAGGGUUAGGUAGGGUUUAGGCUUGGUAGGGCUUAGGGUUAGGUAGAGUUUAGGGUUUAGGGUUAGGUAGGGUUUAGGGUUUUGGGUUAGGUAGGGUUUAGGGUUAGGUAGGGUUUUGAGUUAGGUAGGGUUUAGGGUUAGGUAGGGUUUAGGCUUGGUAGGGCUUAGGGUUAGGUAGAGUUUAGGGUUUAGGGUUAGGUAGGGUUUUGAGUUAGGUAGGGUUUAGGGUUAGGUAGGGUUUAGGCUUGGUAGGGCUUAGGGUUAGGUAGAAUUUAGGGUUUAGGGUUAGGUAGGGUUUAGGGUUGGUAGGACGGUUUAGGUAGGGUUUAGGGUUAGGUAGAGUUUAGGGUUGGUAGGGCUUAGGGUUAGGUAGGGUUUAGGGUUAGGUAGGAUUUAGGGUUACAUAGGGUUUAGGGUUACGUAGGGUUUAGGGUUAGGUAGGGCUUAGAAUUGGGUAGAGUUUAGGGUUAGUAGGGUUUAGGGUUAGGUAGGGUUUAGGGUUAUGUAGGGUUUAGGGUUAGAAUGGUUUUACGGUUAGGUAGGGUUUAGGGUUAUGUAAGGUUAGGGUUAGGUAGGGUUUAGAAUUAGGUAGGGUUUAGGGUUAGCAUGGUUUAGGGUUAGAAGGGUUUAGGGUUAGUAGGGUUUAAUUUAGGGUUAGGUAGGGUUUAGGGUUAGGUAAGGUUUAGGGUUAGAAGGGGUUUAAAGUUAGGUAGGGUUUAGGGUUAGGUAAGGUUUAGGGUUAUGUAGGGUUAGGGUUAGGUAGGGUCUAGAAUUAGGUAGAGUUUAGGGUUAGGUAAGGUUUAGGGUUAUGUAGGGUUAGGGUUAGGUAGGGUCUAGAAUUAGGUAGGGUUUAGGGUUAGCAUGGUUUAGGGUUAGAAGGGUUUAGGGUUAGUAGGGUUUAAUUUAGGGUUAGGUAGGGUUUAGGGUUAGGUAAUGUUUAGGGUUAGAAGGGGUUUAGAGUUAGGUAGGGUUUAGGGUUAGGUAAGGUUUAGGGUUAGAAGGAGUUUAGGGUUAGGUAGGUUUUAGGGUUUAGGGUUAGGUAGGAUUUAGGGUUAGGAAGGAUUUCGAAUUAGGUAGGGUUUAGGGUUAUGUAGGGUUUAGGGUUAGGUUUUAGGUUGGGUUUAGGGUUAGGUAGGGUUUAGGGUUGGUAGGGCUUAGGGUUUAGGGGUUUAGGGUUACGUAGGGUUUUAGGGUUGGUAGGGCUUAGGGUUAGGUAGGGUUUAGGGCUAGGUAGGGUUUAGGGUUAGGUAGGGUUUAGGGUUACAUUGGGUUUAGGGCUACGUAGGGUUUAGGGUUAGGUAGGGUUUAGAAUUGGGUAGGGUUUAGGGUUAGGUAGGGUUUAGGGUUAUGUAGGGCUUAGGGUUAGAAUGGUUUUACGGCUAGGUAGGGUUUAGGUUAGGUAGGGUUUAGGUUUAUGUAGGGUUACGGUUAGGUAGGGUUUAGAAUUAGGUAGGGUUUAGGGUUAGCGUGGUUUAGGGUUAGAAGGGUUUAGGGUUAGUAGGGUUAAGUGGAUUUAGGGCUAGAAAGGGUUUAGGGUUAGGUAGGGUUUAGGGUUAGGUAAGGUUUAGGGUUAGAAGGGGUUUAGAGUUAGGUAGGGUUUAGGGUUAAAAAGGGUUUAGGGUUAGAUAGGGUUUAGGGUUAGGUAGGGUUUAGGGUUAGGUAAGGUUUCAAAUUAGGUAGGGUUUAGGGGUAGGUAGUGUUUAGGGUUAGGUAGGGUUUAGGGUUAGAAAGGGUUUAGGGUAAGUAGGGUUUAAGGUUAGUAGGGUUUAGGGUUAGUAGGGUUUCGGGUUAGGUAGGGUUAGGGUUAGAAAGUUCCUACUAAUCAUCAAACAAAGCUUCACUCUCCUUCUUCUUCUUUUUUGUCCUCUGAGAUUACUAGGGUUUAGGGUUAGGUAGGGUUUAGGGUAGGUAGGGUUUAGGGUUAGGUAGGGUUUAGGGUUAGGUUUUAGGUAGGGUUAAGGGUUAGGUUUUAAGUAGGGUUUAGGGUUAGGUAGGGUUGAGGGUUAAAUAAGGUUUAGGGUUAGGUAGGGUUUACGUUUCGGGUUAGGUUGGUUUACGGUUAGAUAGGUUUAGGGUUUAGGUAGUAUGAAGGAUUUAGGGAUUACGGUUAGAUUUAUGUAGAGUUUAGGGUUAGAUUGGUUAAGGUCUAGGUUUAGGUAGGAUUUAAGGUUUAGGUAGUAGAAAAGGUUUAGCGUUUGAUUUAGGUUGGGUUUAAGGUUUGCUUUAGAAUAAUGCUUAGGAUUAUAGGGUUUAAGGUUUGUUUGUUUUUUUGUUUAUGUAUUUAGUGCUGAGUUUUUCCGAUAAAAUUUAUAUUAAUAUUAUUGAUUCAUAAUUUUUCUUAAAAUGUUA